Molecule: ribosomal RNA, 232 nt
Filed under: uncultured bacterium
Lineage: Bacteria
Description: partial 16S ribosomal RNA
Rfam family: Bacterial small subunit ribosomal RNA
Source: RNAcentral
CGGGGUGAGUAACGCGUGGAUAACCUGCCUCACACUGGGGGAUAACAGUUAGAAAUGACUGCUAAUACCGCAUAAGCGCACAGUACCGCAUGGUACAGUGUGAAAAACUCCGGUGGUGUGAGAUGGAUCCGCGUCUGAUUAGCCAGUUGGCGGGGUAACGGCCCACCAAAGCGACGAUCAGUAGCCGACCUGAGAGGGUGGCCGGCCACAUUGGGACUGAGACACGGCCCAA